UCGGGAAUUUUGGGCAAUGGGCGAAAGCCUGAUCCAGCCAUGCCGCGUGUGUGAAGAAGGUCUUCGGAUUGUAAAGCACUUUAAGUUGGGAGGAAGGGCAGUUACCUAAUACGUAUCUGUUUUGACGUUACCGACAGAAUAAGCACCGGCUAACUCUGUGCCAGCAGCCGCGGUAAUACAGAGGGUGCAAGCGUUAAUCGGAAUUACUGGGCGUAAAGCGCGCGUAGGUGGUUUGUUAAGUUGGAUGUGAAAUCCCCGGGCUCAACCUGGGAACUGCAUUCAAAACUGACAAGCUAGAGUAUGGUAGAGGGUGGUGGAAUUUCCUGUGUAGCGGUGAAAUGCGUAGAUAUAGGAAGGAACACCAGUGGCGAAGGCGACCACCUGGACUGAUACUGACACUGAGGUGCGAAAGCGUGGGGAGCAAACAGGAUUAGAUACCCUUGUAGUCCCUGAGCGGGCUGGCAAGGCGCAU
This 472-nucleotide ribosomal RNA is filed under the name uncultured bacterium. RNAcentral's name for it is "bacterial SSU rRNA". It matches the Rfam family "Bacterial small subunit ribosomal RNA", at positions 355 to 825 of the family's 1533-position model. The record is from RNAcentral.